UACGUAGGGCGCGAGCGUUGUCCGGAAUUAUUGGGCGUAAAGAGCUCGUAGGCGGCCUGUCGCGUCAAUUGUGAAAGCCCGGGACUCAACCCCGGGUCUGCAGUCGAUACGGGCAGGCUAGAGUGCGGUAGGGGAGAUCGGAAUUCCUGGUGUAGCGGUGAAAUGCGCAGAUAUCAGGAGGAACACCGGUGGCGAAGGCAGGUCUCUGGGCCGAUACUGACGCUGAGGAGCGAAAGCGUGGGGAGCGAACAGG
This 253-nucleotide ribosomal RNA is filed under the name uncultured bacterium. RNAcentral's name for it is "partial 16S ribosomal RNA". It matches the Rfam family "Bacterial small subunit ribosomal RNA", at positions 524 to 776 of the family's 1533-position model. The record is from RNAcentral.